Long non-coding RNA from Cervus elaphus (red deer), 628 nucleotides. RefSeq lists it as uncharacterized. The record is from RefSeq and is a predicted model, not a curated record. The transcript has 3 exons. NCBI's taxonomy places the organism in Eukaryota, Metazoa, Chordata, Mammalia, Artiodactyla, Cervidae.
UUGAGGGCAGGAGGAAAAGGGGAGGACAGGGGAUGAGAUGAUGGAUGGCAUCACUGACGCAAUGGACAUGAGUCUGAGUAAACUCUGGGAGUUGGUGAUGGACAGGGAGGCCUGGAGUGAUGGGGCCGCAUAGUCUGACCGGACUGAGCGACUGAACUGAACUGCUUAACUCUUCUCAUUUUGCCCUCCUUAGGGUCCAUGGAAGCCGUGGAGAAGGAAAUCAAAGGCCUGAUUAGCUGCCUCUUGCCCACAAAGGAUGCCGUAGGUACAGGAUGCUGUGAGGAUGAAGUGAAAUGGAGCACACGGUGAGGAGCUGGGCUGCAGCAGAUCAAGUCGGUGCUCGCCCCAAACGCCCUGAAAGUCCCUGUAAGGGUUGGCAGAGAGAACCAGAACUGCCUCGAGGUGAUAUCCCCCCACUGCAACCUUUAAUGAAGAUCAGUCAGCUUCUUGACUGGGUCCCUAUGGCCCCUAAGACGUCGCUUUCUGCACCUGAGCCCCAGGUUUGCAGAGAGCAAAAGCAACUUGCCCAACCACAGGCCCCUUGAACAAGAGAUACGACUUUUAACAAAAAGGAAUGCACAACACAAGACAAGUGCUCGGGCCUGGUGCACUGGGAAGAUCCAGAGGA